Molecule: ribosomal RNA, 253 nt
Filed under: uncultured bacterium
Lineage: Bacteria
Description: partial 16S ribosomal RNA
Rfam family: Bacterial small subunit ribosomal RNA
Source: RNAcentral
UACGGGGGGGGCGAGCGUUGUUCGGAUUUAUUGGGCGUAAAGAGCGUGUAGGCGGCCAGGUAGGUCAGCUGUGAAAACUCGAGGCUCAACCUCGAGACGCCGGUUGAAACCAUCUGGCUAGAGUCCGGAAGAGGAGAGUGGAAUUCCUGGUGUAGCGGUGAAAUGCGCAGAUAUCAGGAAGAACACCCGUGGCUAAGGCGGCUCUCUAGUACGGUACUGACGCUGAGACGCGAAAGCGUGGGGAGCGAACAGG